CUACGUUUGUCAAGACAAGCUGGAAAAGAUUACUUAAAUACAGAAGUUUUCUUAGGAAAGAUAAGACGACAAAAGUAUAUAUAGAUUUUUCUCACUCAAGUCAUGCAUCAAAGGAGUGGGUUAUUAGUAGAAAGUUUUUUAUGGUUACAAGAUUUUUUCAAAUGCAAGGGAAUUGCAAAACAUUUUUUAAUAUUCAUGGACUUACGAAAGAGCAAUGAGGAAAAGCUAGUGUGAAGAAUUUGAACAUCUUUAUCAUUUU
Molecule: long non-coding RNA, 259 nt
Filed under: Carica papaya (papaya)
Lineage: Eukaryota; Viridiplantae; Streptophyta; Magnoliopsida; Brassicales; Caricaceae
Description: long non-coding RNA (CPAP_LNC007625)
Source: RNAcentral